UACGGAGGGUGCAAGCGUUAUCCGGAUUCACUGGGCUUAAAGGGCGCGUAGGUGGCUUUGUAAGUCAGUGGUGAAAUCUCCAAGCUUAACUUGGAAACUGCCGUUGAUACUAUCAUUCUUGAAUAUCGUGGAGGUGAGCGGAAUAUGUCAUGUAGCGGUGAAAUGCUUAGAUAUGACACAGAACACCGAUUGCGAAGGCAGCUCGCUAAACUGUGAUUGACGCUGAGGCACGAAAGCGUGGGGAUCAAACAGG
Molecule: ribosomal RNA, 253 nt
Filed under: uncultured bacterium
Lineage: Bacteria
Description: partial 16S ribosomal RNA
Rfam family: Bacterial small subunit ribosomal RNA
Source: RNAcentral